This 2647-nucleotide ribosomal RNA is filed under the name Escherichia coli 1-110-08_S3_C2. RNAcentral describes it as "bacterial LSU rRNA". It matches the Rfam family "Bacterial large subunit ribosomal RNA". The record is from RNAcentral. Lineage: Bacteria; Pseudomonadati; Pseudomonadota; Gammaproteobacteria; Enterobacterales; Enterobacteriaceae.
GGGAGCAGCCCAGAGCCUGAAUCAGUAUGUGUGUUAGUGGAAGCGUCUGGAAAGGCGCGCGAUACAGGGUGACAGCCCCGUACACAAAAAUGCACAUGCUGUGAGCUCGAUGAGUAGGGCGGGACACGUGGUAUCCUGUCUGAAUAUGGGGGGACCAUCCUCCAAGGCUAAAUACUCCUGACUGACCGAUAGUGAACCAGUACCGUGAGGGAAAGGCGAAAAGAACCCCGGCGAGGGGAGUGAAAAAGAACCUGAAACCGUGUACGUACAAGCAGUGGGAGCACGCUUAGGCGUGUGACUGCGUACCUUUUGUAUAAUGGGUCAGCGACUUAUAUUCUGUAGCAAGGUUAACCGAAUAGGGGAGCCGAAGGGAAACCGAGUCUUAACUGGGCGUUAAGUUGCAGGGUAUAGACCCGAAACCCGGUGAUCUAGCCAUGGGCAGGUUGAAGGUUGGGUAACACUAACUGGAGGACCGAACCGACUAAUGUUGAAAAAUUAGCGGAUGACUUGUGGCUGGGGGUGAAAGGCCAAUCAAACCGGGAGAUAGCUGGUUCUCCCCGAAAGCUAUUUAGGUAGCGCCUCGUGAAUUCAUCUCCGGGGGUAGAGCACUGUUUCGGCAAGGGGGUCAUCCCGACUUACCAACCCGAUGCAAACUGCGAAUACCGGAGAAUGUUAUCACGGGAGACACACGGCGGGUGCUAACGUCCGUCGUGAAGAGGGAAACAACCCAGACCGCCAGCUAAGGUCCCAAAGUCAUGGUUAAGUGGGAAACGAUGUGGGAAGGCCCAGACAGCCAGGAUGUUGGCUUAGAAGCAGCCAUCAUUUAAAGAAAGCGUAAUAGCUCACUGGUCGAGUCGGCCUGCGCGGAAGAUGUAACGGGGCUAAACCAUGCACCGAAGCUGCGGCAGCGACGCUGAUGCGUUGUUGGGUAGGGGAGCGUUCUGUAAGCCUGCGAAGGUGUGCUGUGAGGCAUGCUGGAGGUAUCAGAAGUGCGAAUGCUGACAUAAGUAACGAUAAAGCGGGUGAAAAGCCCGCUCGCCGGAAGACCAAGGGUUCCUGUCCAACGUUAAUCGGGGCAGGGUGAGUCGACCCCUAAGGCGAGGCCGAAAGGCGUAGUCGAUGGGAAACAGGUUAAUAUUCCUGUACUUGGUGUUACUGCGAAGGGGGGACGGAGAAGGCUAUGUUGGCCGGGCGACGGUUGUCCCGGUUUAAGCGUGUAGGCUGGUUUUCCAGGCAAAUCCGGAAAAUCAAGGCUGAGGCGUGAUGACGAGGCACUACGGUGCUGAAGCAACAAAUGCCCUGCUUCCAGGAAAAGCCUCUAAGCAUCAGGUAACAUCAAAUCGUACCCCAAACCGACACAGGUGGUCAGGUAGAGAAUACCAAGGCGCUUGAGAGAACUCGGGUGAAGGAACUAGGCAAAAUGGUGCCGUAACUUCGGGAGAAGGCACGCUGAUAUGUAGGUGAAGUCCCUCGCGGAUGGAGCUGAAAUCAGUCGAAGAUACCAGCUGGCUGCAACUGUUUAUUAAAAACACAGCACUGUGCAAACACGAAAGUGGACGUAUACGGUGUGACGCCUGCCCGGUGCCGGAAGGUUAAUUGAUGGGGUUAGCCGCAAGGCGAAGCUCUUGAUCGAAGCCCCGGUAAACGGCGGCCGUAACUAUAACGGUCCUAAGGUAGCGAAAUUCCUUGUCGGGUAAGUUCCGACCUGCACGAAUGGCGUAAUGAUGGCCAGGCUGUCUCCACCCGAGACUCAGUGAAAUUGAACUCGCUGUGAAGAUGCAGUGUACCCGCGGCAAGACGGAAAGACCCCGUGAACCUUUACUAUAGCUUGACACUGAACAUUGAGCCUUGAUGUGUAGGAUAGGUGGGAGGCUUAGAAGUGUGGACGCCAGUCUGCAUGGAGCCGACCUUGAAAUACCACCCUUUAAUGUUUGAUGUUCUAACGUUGACCCGUAAUCCGGGUUGCGGACAGUGUCUGGUGGGUAGUUUGACUGGGGCGGUCUCCUCCUAAAGAGUAACGGAGGAGCACGAAGGUUGGCUAAUCCUGGUCGGACAUCAGGAGGUUAGUGCAAUGGCAUAAGCCAGCUUGACUGCGAGCGUGACGGCGCGAGCAGGUGCGAAAGCAGGUCAUAGUGAUCCGGUGGUUCUGAAUGGAAGGGCCAUCGCUCAACGGAUAAAAGGUACUCCGGGGAUAACAGGCUGAUACCGCCCAAGAGUUCAUAUCGACGGCGGUGUUUGGCACCUCGAUGUCGGCUCAUCACAUCCUGGGGCUGAAGUAGGUCCCAAGGGUAUGGCUGUUCGCCAUUUAAAGUGGUACGCGAGCUGGGUUUAGAACGUCGUGAGACAGUUCGGUCCCUAUCUGCCGUGGGCGCUGGAGAACUGAGGGGGGCUGCUCCUAGUACGAGAGGACCGGAGUGGACGCAUCACUGGUGUUCGGGUUGUCAUGCCAAUGGCACUGCCCGGUAGCUAAAUGCGGAAGAGAUAAGUGCUGAAAGCAUCUAAGCACGAAACUUGCCCCGAGAUGAGUUCUCCCUGACUCCUUGAGAGUCCUGAAGGAACGUUGAAGACGACGACGUUGAUAGGCCGGGUGUGUAAGCGCAGCGAUGCGUUGAGCUAACCGGUACUAAUGAACCGUGAGGCUUAACCU